Molecule: transfer RNA, 75 nt
Filed under: Candidatus Nomurabacteria bacterium RIFCSPHIGHO2_01_FULL_36_23
Lineage: Bacteria; Candidatus Nomuraibacteriota
Also listed under: 2 other names
Description: tRNA-Arg
Rfam family: tRNA
About the family: Transfer RNA (tRNA) molecules are approximately 80 nucleotides in length. Their secondary structure includes four short double-helical elements and three loops (D, anti-codon, and T loops).
Source: RNAcentral
GCACCCGUAGUGAAAUGGAUAUCAUGCCUGCCUUCGAAGCAGUUGUUGGGGGUUCGAAUCCCUCCGGGUGCACAA